UUAAAUUGAAGAGUUUGAUCAUGGCUCAGAUUGAACGCUGGCGGCAGGCCUAACACAUGCAAGUCGAACGGUAACAGGAAGAAGCUUGCUUCUUUGCUGACGAGUGGCGGACGGGUGAGUAAUGUAUGGGAAACUGCCUGAUGGAGGG
RNAcentral lists this ribosomal RNA (148 nucleotides) under Escherichia coli O157:H7 str. 2009EL2109. RNAcentral's name for it is "partial 16S ribosomal RNA". It matches the Rfam family "Bacterial small subunit ribosomal RNA", at positions 1 to 140 of the family's 1533-position model. The record is from RNAcentral. Lineage: Bacteria; Pseudomonadati; Pseudomonadota; Gammaproteobacteria; Enterobacterales; Enterobacteriaceae.